Non-coding RNA from Coturnix japonica (Japanese quail), 337 nucleotides. Lineage: Eukaryota; Metazoa; Chordata; Aves; Galliformes; Phasianidae. The record is from RefSeq and is a predicted model, not a curated record.
UAUGUGGGGCAGUGGUGAUCCUAUAGGGCGCUAUGGGGCUGCGCUAUGGGGCUGUGUGCCCUCCCAUCGCGCCGCCCCCGCUCUCCCGCCCCACAUUUCCUCCCAGCUGCUUCCUGGGCCCCCCCGGGACGGCCCCGCUCUGCCCCACACGUUCCCCCAUUCCCCGCCGCGCUGUGGGGCUGACGGGGCCGCCAUGGUGAGGGCGGCAUGUGGGGCGCAGAUCUGAGCAUGUCCCGGCCCCACGACGAGGGGGAGCGACACGGGGGGAGCAGCAGCAGCAGCAGCAACAACAGCAGCACAGACACAGAAAGAAAUGGACCCGACACGAACCACCAGG